RNAcentral lists this ribosomal RNA (725 nucleotides) under uncultured bacterium. RNAcentral describes it as "bacterial SSU rRNA". It matches the Rfam family "Bacterial small subunit ribosomal RNA", at positions 771 to 1501 of the family's 1533-position model. The record is from RNAcentral.
AACAGGAUUAGAUACCCUGGUAGUCCACGCCCUAAACGAUGUCUACUAGUUGUCGGGUCUUAAUUGACUUGGUAACGCAGCUAACGCGUGAAGUAGACCGCCUGGGGAGUACGGUCGCAAGAUUAAAACUCAAAGGAAUUGACGGGGACCCGCACAAGCGGUGGAUGAUGUGGAUUAAUUCGAUGCAACGCGAAAAACCUUACCUACCCUUGACAUGGCUGGAAUCCUUGAGAGAUCGGGGAGUGCCCGAAAGGGAACCAGUACACAGGUGCUGCACGGCUGUCGUCAGCUCGUGUCGUGAGAUGUUGGGUUAAGUCCCGCAACGAGCGCAACCCUUGUCAUUAGUUGCUACGAAAGGGCACUCUAAUGAGACUGCCGGUGACAAACCGGAGGAAGGUGGGGAUGACGUCAAGUCCUCAUGGCCCUUAUGGGUAGGGCUUCACACGUCAUACAAUGGUACAUACAGAGCGCCGCCAACCCGCGAGGGGGAGCUAAUCGCAGAAAGUGUAUCGUAGUCCGGAAUGUAGUCUGCAACUCGACUGCAUGAAGUUGGAAUCGCUAGUAAUCGCGGAUCAGCGUGUCGCGGUGAAUACGUUCCCGGGUCUUGUACACACCGCCCGUCACACCAUGGGAGCGGGUUUUACCAGAAGUAGGUAGCUUAACCGCAAGGAGGGCGCUUACCACGGUAGGAUUCGUGACUGGGGUGAAGUCGUAACAAGGUAACC